GCCAGGGAGGCUUCGAGGGCAGCUAGGCUCCUGGUGUGGUGUCCCCCUUCCUGCCCCAGUUGUGGUCUCUGCACCUAGACUGGGCAAUUGUCUUUUAUUUGCUUAUUUUUAUUCAGUUUGUUGGUUGUUUUUUGGGCGCUGGCUUUCUUAGUUACUCUACUAAGACUCAUAUUGAAUGCAGUGCACAUCCUCUGGCAAAUGGAGGAGUCAUUCUUUUUCUCUGUCCCUUGGGAUCUGAUGCUCUUCAGGUGGUUUGACCUUUGUACCAGAGGCCAGAGGCCUAGACCACCCAGAUUAACAGCUGCUAAAAAUGGGCUUUGGGAAGUCCCCCUGGAGCAGAAAGAUUUUCAGGUUUCAUGAUGUAAUUUUCUUCUUUCUUCCUUUCUCAUUCUGUGGUGAAAUGUGACAAGAAAUGUGACAGUUUUUGGGAGAUGUGAACUCCUCCCCAGUAAUACACCUCAGAUACUUAGUCCAAAUGUUUAUCUUCAGCUUGUGAAGUGGGUUGCACAGUACUUUUUUCCUCUUACACUUAAACAAGCAAAACUAGUAAAGCGAAAACUAAAUGUAGUUAUAGACAUAACUACUAUUUAAAAAAUUUGGAAGAUAUAGAAAAGAAAGCAAAUUAUCUGUAAUUCUACCUGAUGAAUUAUUUUGAUGUGUUAUCUUCCUGGCGUUUUUGUGACUUUUAAAAAAUCAUAGUCCUAAUCGUAGUGGUUUUACAGAGCUCUGACUUUGGCUACCUUUGUAACUCCAGGGGGAAGGUGCUGGGGGCUCUCUCUCAUAGCUGGAGUUCUUCCAGACAAGAGCCCAGCUUCCUCUUCCUCCCUUUGUGGAGCUCUGUGCUGAACUCCCACUCCUUCUCUGGUCUGCAGGGGAGCCUGAGGUCCCUUGCCUUUUUGACUGUAGCAUUCUGCCAACAUUUGUGGCAUCCUAAAUGCUUUUGUCCAGAGCUGUUGAGGAAUUCUGGAUUAAUUAGCUAAAACUACCCCCUGCCUGUUUGUGCUGAGAACCCAUCUCUGCUCCCUAAUUUUUUCAUGGGAGGUGGUGGUGAAAUAAUGUCAUAUUUUGUAUUACUGGGUACCUACCAUGCAGCCAUGAGAGGGUUGUUCCACAUUGGUAGUCAGGUCUGUUGCUGUAGUUUUGGACCCUAGCUAAGAAUUGUUGAGCCCUCCCUGUGCUAAAUGCUUACCUAUAUUUUAUACCUAAGCUGCCUUGGAAGUAUGUAUCAUUCAUCAUCCCCUUUUUGCUGAGGAAGCUGAGGCUCACGGGGUUAAUGGCUCUCCUGAGAUCUGUAUCUAUAUGGCUUCAGGACUCAGAUUCUAACUCCAGAGCUGCACAUUCCUGCUUCAUAGCACUGCCUUCUAGAAAGCACAAGACGAGGCGGGAGAUCUGGUUGGAUCAGGGUCCUGUCGUGACGGAUAAUGGGAAUUUUAUCUUAGACUGGAAGUUUGACCGGGUGCACAAAUGGAGUGAAGUGAACACAGCUAUCAAAAUGAUCCCAGAUAAAUAUCACAGGCAGG
Manis javanica (Malayan pangolin) is the source of this 1520-nucleotide non-coding RNA. Lineage: Eukaryota; Metazoa; Chordata; Mammalia; Pholidota; Manidae. The record is from RefSeq and is a predicted model, not a curated record.